Molecule: non-coding RNA, 1591 nt
Organism: Pimephales promelas (fathead minnow)
Lineage: Eukaryota; Metazoa; Chordata; Actinopteri; Cypriniformes; Leuciscidae
Source: RefSeq, a predicted model, not a curated record
GAUGAAAGACAACAACUCCCAGAAUCCACUUGCUUCACUGCCCUAGGAGGCCACGCCUACCGGUAACAGAGCACAGUAGGUAAACAACAGUUUUGGCUACUAAUUGAAUUGAAUUCUUUAUUGUCAUUGUACAAGGUACAACGAAAUUGGAUGACAUUCCUCGCAGUGCUUUAAAAUGAAUAGAAUAUAAUAAAUAAAUAAAAUUAAGUUAAAAAACAUUCACUGUAAUGAAUUGCUGUAAAAAUUACAGGAAUAUUUUACAGCAGCUGGCUGUUUUCUAAUAAUACAGCAUUUUGCUGUAAACUGCAAUGCAUUCUGGGGCCGCGUGGCGGUUUGAUUCAAAAUACAGAAUAUUGCUGUAAAUUUCAAAUCGACACAGAGGCAUUGUGAUCUUCAACGGUCGUGUCGUCGACUUUCGGAUAGCGGCAAGAGGAGUGAUUCUCAACUGGUAAGUGACUUAUUUCAGUUUCUUAUUUUUCAUGUUGUGUUACUCGUAGACUAUGAAGGUAAUGUUAUAUUCGCGGUUCAUAUUGGUUACAGAGGAUCACGCAUCCUCCGUACUGGGCACGAGGGAGACUUGCGCGGGGCUUCAGCAGCCCAGACGCCGUUAGUAUUUCACACAUUCCUCGGGAUCUAUGGGCUCCUAUGUUAAGAAGAAUUACGUGCUUUUCUGACAACAGUCGGUAUUCACACAAGCUUCGUGUUGAUCAGCACACUUCGCCGUGAUUAUUUUAUGGUGUAAAUCAAAUCAAAAUCAAGUAAUCUGUUAAAAUGGGUGCCGAAAUGAAAAAAAAAAAACAGAUUAUGAAUGUUGCUGUGUCGUGACGUUAUGUUUAAUAUUCCGCUGUGAAAAUCCCUUAUAUUUCAGUACGAAUAUAAGCUAUAUAUCCUAUAUAUUUUAGCUAUAACGUUAGCCUAAGUUACUCUCUGUGUGUAAUUUGCUUAUUUGUUUUCAUACUUCCUUUGUUAAUUUUAUUUAAAAGAAAGAGUUCCUGCACUAUGAAUACUAAAAUAUAGUUUACAUUUAAAAUGCUGAAACAUAAAAAUGGUAUAGUAAAAAAUAAACUAUUGUCACAUGUGGUAUUGUUUUAGGAGACACUUUGACAAGAGGACACUGGAAGGCCAAGUUGUGUGUGAGGAGAGCAUUCAGCCCAGCUUCCUGUCUGGCCUUGCUACUGUUCACUGCAUAUUAUUACAUAUUCAAUCAGGAGGAGCCAGCCUGCACCUUGGAGUUCAUUUAAAGGAGAGGAACAAAGAAGAAAAUGUUGCCACAUGUUGCCACUCUUCGCUGCAAAGUGGUGUAUUUAGUGGAAUUUCUGAAACCAUCUGGAGCUGAAUUAUUCUCCAUUUUUGAUCAUACGUUUUUUGGACUCACUUGGGGCCUUGUUGUUUGGACAUGUUUGUCUGGGAACGAAGAGGUGACAAUUCAUUCAUGUCUGUUUUUUUUUUUCAGAACCAUUUUAUUAUGAUCAUGUUGGUCAACUUGUCGUUUUAAAUGUCAUUUGCGUAUUUCUUCUUUGUGUGAAGGGCCCUGAUGGCUUAUUUGUUUUAAGUAAUUAAAAAAAUAAUAAUUCCAUGUCCAUUUGUAAAA